GUUUGAUCCUGGCUCAGGACGAACGCUGGCGGCGUGCUUAACACAUGCAAGUCGAGCGGAAAGGCCCACUUGUGGGUACUCGAGCGGCGAACGGGUGAGUAACACGUGAGUAAUCUGCCCUCUACUUUGGGAUAGCCACCGGAAACGGUGAUUAAUACCGGAUAUGACAUACUGGCGCAUGUUGGUGUGUGGAAACUUUUUGGGUAGGGGAUGUGCUCGCGGCCUAUCAGCUUGAUGGUGGGGUAAUGGCCUACCAUGGCUUCGACGGGUAGCCGGCCUGAGAGGGUGACCGGUCACACUGGGACUGAGACACGGCCCAGACUCCUACGGGAGGCAGCAGUGGGGAAUAUUGGACAAUGGGCGGAAGCCUGAUCCAGCAACGCCGCGUGAGGGAUGACGGCCUGGUGUACGUACUUCUACUACUACACGACGAACG
RNAcentral lists this ribosomal RNA (436 nucleotides) under uncultured bacterium. Its description in RNAcentral is "bacterial SSU rRNA". It matches the Rfam family "Bacterial small subunit ribosomal RNA", at positions 11 to 451 of the family's 1533-position model. The record is from RNAcentral.